CCCGCUCAGAAACUCAAAGGAUUGACGGGGGCCCGCACAAGCGGUGGAGCAUGUGGUUUAAUUCGAUGAUACGCGAGGAACCUUACCUGGGCUCAAAUGUAUGUUGACGUAUUCUGAAAGGGAUACUUCUUCGGACAAUAUACAAGGUGCUGCAUGGUUGUCGUCAGCUCGUGCCGUGAGGUGUCGGGUUAAGUCCCAUAACGAGCGCAACCCCUAUCAUUAGUUGCCAUCAGGUCAAGCUGGGGACUCUAAUGAAACUGCCUACGCAAGUAGUGAGGAAGGUGGGGAUGACGUCAAAUCAGCACGGCCCUUACGUCCAGGGCUACACACGUGCUACAAUGGCCGGUACAAAGGGCAGCUACCUGGUGACAGGAUGCUAAUCUCAAAAGCCGGUCUCAGUUCGGAUCGGAGUCUGCAACCCGACUCCAUGAAGUUGGAAUCGCUAGUAAUCGCGCAUCAGCAUGGCGCGGUGAAUACGUUCCCGGGCCUU
Molecule: ribosomal RNA, 490 nt
Filed under: uncultured Sphingobacteriales bacterium
Lineage: Bacteria; Pseudomonadati; Bacteroidota; Sphingobacteriia; Sphingobacteriales
Description: bacterial SSU rRNA
Rfam family: Bacterial small subunit ribosomal RNA
Source: RNAcentral